This 1710-nucleotide ribosomal RNA is filed under the name Triticum aestivum (bread wheat). Its description in RNAcentral is "partial small subunit ribosomal RNA". Lineage: Eukaryota; Viridiplantae; Streptophyta; Magnoliopsida; Poales; Poaceae. The record is from RNAcentral.
AUGGGGACACCGAGGCGAGAAAUUAUGUUCGACAUGAUUGACAUAAGCAAUAUUGCAUGCUGGGACAGAGCUGGAGAGCGCGACACUGAUAUCGAGGACACCAUCAAACUGUUUGCCGAUAUGCAGAGGCGGAGGCCGGGAUUCCACCAUGUGGAAGAGACAGAGAACAAUGUAGUGUGGAGCCUGUUUUGGACAGACUCCUUGUGCAAGAUGAAUUAUGAUCUAUAUGGAGAUUUCGUGUCUUUUGACACGACAUUCUCUAUGAAUAGAUAUGGCUUGCCAUUUGCACCAAUUAUAGGUGUCGACAACCAUGGGUCGACCGUCCUGUUUGGACUAGGCCUUUUGAAAGAUGAGAAAAUAGGGUCAUUCAAGUGGCUCCUAAGCACGUUUGUCGAGGCAAUGGGGGGUAAAGAGCUGAAAUACAUAAUAACAGACCAGGACCAGGCGACGAAGACUGCAAUAAAGGAAGCUCUUCCGAGAACGAGGCACAGUGAGAGCACGAAUUCGAUGUGGAAGAAUUACGUCGACCACAGUGACACUAUAAAAAGGUUUGUUGAUGCGUAUCACAUGAUUCAGCAAAAUUGCCUCGCCACGCUUGACAAGAAAAGACACCGAACAGAAGAGAAGGCGCCAUCACUAGAGACGGGUUUUCCCAUUGAAAGACAGGCAAGUCAAGUAUACACCAAUGAAAUUUUCAGGAAAUUCCAGCUGGAGCUACAGAAUCGGACUUACUUCAAGUGCUCUGACCUGGCAAAGGGGAGGCAGUAUUUUUUAAAAAGGAUUACUGAGCCUGGAGAAAAAGUGUGGAAACCAUAUCCGGGCGAGGAAUUUGAGAGGUCUGAGUUCAGGGUAGAUGUGGAUGAGCAAAAAGAAAUAUACAGUUGCAGCUGCAAGAAAAGGAGUAGGGAUGACAUCCAGUGCUGCCAUGUGCUUAAGGUGAUGGACCAAACAAGCAUGAUCAAUCAACUUCCAAAAUCCUUUGUCAUCCCCAAAUGGACCAGGAAUCUAUCAGAGAGUCUGAAAGUUCUGUCUACAAGUCAAGGUGAUAGCAUGACCGCACAAGAUGAUGAAACGAUGAGAUUCGGCCUCGCUUACGCUGAGUUGUCGGAUAUCUGUUCAAAUGCUUGCAGAAAUAGAAGGCAUACAGUGUUCUGCGAACCAAACACAGGCAUUGUUGCCGAAACUCUCAAGAACCCUCCCAUGAGUGGCUCAAAGGGCAUGAAAAAAGGAGAUCGAAUCAAAGUUGGUUCUGAGAAGAAAGGAAAAGGCAACAAAGCCAUAUCCAAGUGCGGUCGUUGUCGAGAAAAGGGUCACAGGAAAACAAACUGCCCGGAUAACCCAGAAGUACAGGAGAGGAUGAGGAUUGAAGAGGAGAAGAGGAAAUCGCAACAGGAGAAGAGGGCAAGGUCAAUGAAAUGGCCGACAACACCGACAACACCAUCGAGGACAUCAAACGGCUUAGGACAAUGCACUCCAAGCCCAGGAGGAAGACAUCAGACGGUAGCAACUCCAACGACCCCACUGACAGCAAGGAGCAUUUACCAAAGUCUUGCAUCUACGCCAGAAUCGAACAUCACACAAGCCAGGCACACAGAAUGCAUGCAGGGAAGCCCGGGACAAGGCACGGAAUCUGCGCAGUCCAUUUUCAGAAAGGAAAGGUCUGAGUGGAGACUUUUUGGUACCGGAGAGCAGUACGAAAAGAAAAAUUAA